RNAcentral lists this transfer RNA (68 nucleotides) under Schistosoma mansoni. Lineage: Eukaryota; Metazoa; Platyhelminthes; Trematoda; Strigeidida; Schistosomatidae. The record is from RNAcentral.
GUACAGCGGAGUGGAUAACGCGAUGGCAUUUAAAGCGAAAGGUACUGGGUUCGAGUUCCAGAGUGAAC